UGCCAGCCGCCGCGGUAAUACGGAGGGGGUUAGCGUUGUUCGGAAUUACUGGGCGUAAAGCGCACGUAGGCGGAUUAGUAAGUGAGGGGUGAAAUCCCAGGGCUCAACCCUGGAACUGCCUCUCAUACUGGCGAUCUCGAGUUCGAGAGAGGUGAGUGGAAUUCCGAGUGUAGAGGUGAAAUUCGUAGAUAUUCGGAGGAACACCAGUGGCGAAGGCGGCUCACUGGCUCGAUACUGACGCUGAGGUGCGAAAGUGUGGGGAGCAAACAGGAUUAGAUA
RNAcentral lists this ribosomal RNA (279 nucleotides) under uncultured bacterium. RNAcentral's name for it is "partial 16S ribosomal RNA". It matches the Rfam family "Bacterial small subunit ribosomal RNA", at positions 506 to 784 of the family's 1533-position model. The record is from RNAcentral.